This 442-nucleotide ribosomal RNA is filed under the name uncultured bacterium. RNAcentral's name for it is "partial 16S ribosomal RNA". It matches the Rfam family "Bacterial small subunit ribosomal RNA", at positions 338 to 795 of the family's 1533-position model. The record is from RNAcentral.
CCUACGGGGGGCAGCAGUGGGGAAUAUUGGGCAAUGGAGGAAACUCUGACCCAGCAACGCCGCGUGAAUGAUGAAGGUCUUCGGAUUGUAAAGUUCUUUUCUAAGGGAAGAAGAAAGUGACGGUACCUUAGGAAUAAGCCUCGGCUAACUACGUGCCAGCAGCCGCGGUAAUACGUAGGAGGCGAGCGUUAUCCGGAAUGACUGGGUUUAAAGGGUGAGUAGGCGGAUUUUUAAGUCAGCGGUAAAAUGUCCGGGCUCAACCCGGGCCGGCCGUUGAAACUGGGGAUCUUGAGUGGGCGAGAAGUAUGCGGAAUGCGUGGUGUAGCGGUGAAAUGCAUAGAUAUCACGCAGAACUCCGAUUGCGAAGGCAGCAUACCGGCGCCCGACUGACGCUGAGGCACGAAAGCGUGGGGAUCGAACAGGAUUAGAUACCCUAGUAGUC